AAAGCCUUAGCUUAAUUAAAGUGUCUGUUUUGCAUGCAGAGGAUAUGGGCUAGUAUCCCGUAGGUUUUA
This 69-nucleotide transfer RNA is filed under the name Synodus kaianus (Gunther's lizard fish). RNAcentral describes it as "tRNA-Ala". It matches the Rfam family "tRNA". Rfam says of the family: Transfer RNA (tRNA) molecules are approximately 80 nucleotides in length. Their secondary structure includes four short double-helical elements and three loops (D, anti-codon, and T loops). Further hydrogen bonds mediate the characteristic L-shaped molecular structure. tRNAs have two regions of fundamental functional importance: the anti-codon, which is responsible for specific mRNA codon recognition, and the 3' end, to which the tRNAs corresponding amino acid is attached (by aminoacyl-tRNA synthetases). tRNAs cope with the degeneracy of the genetic code in two manners: having more than one tRNA (with a specific anti-codon) for a particular amino acid; and 'wobble' base-pairing, i.e. permitting non-standard base-pairing at the 3rd anti-codon position. Lineage: Eukaryota; Metazoa; Chordata; Actinopteri; Aulopiformes; Synodontidae. The record is from RNAcentral.